Long non-coding RNA from Lolium rigidum, 317 nucleotides. RefSeq lists it as uncharacterized. The record is from RefSeq and is a predicted model, not a curated record. The transcript has 4 exons. Lineage: Eukaryota; Viridiplantae; Streptophyta; Magnoliopsida; Poales; Poaceae.
AAUGAUAGAUAGUACCUAUAUCAAACAUUGCUGGAGUCAUCUCUUGGAGAAAACAGUUUACACUUGAUGGCCUGCCGGUUUCUAAAAUCUUGCUUUACCAACUGAGUUCUGAAACGGGGAAGGGCAUCUAUUGAUGGUGUGAGUGCGUCAUGAGGUAGGCUCUCAAGAUGAAGAACGGGAGGAGGAGUGCUGGCUCAGGAAAGCUCCAUAUAUUUUUCAUGGAUGCCUUUACAUAUUCUAUGUUAGCCUCAUUGUGGAGGAAGAGGUCGCGUCAAUGUGGAGACUAGGCGAACUCAAGUGGUCAUCGACUUGCCUCU